AGGAGAGUUUGAUCCUGGCUCAGGACAAACGCUGGCGGCGUGCCUAACACAUGCAAGUCGAACGAAGCAUCCAGGAAAGAGGCUUCGGCCAAUGGAACGGAUGACUUAGUGGCGGACGGGUGAGUAAUGCAUGAGCAACCUGCCCUGGAGAGGGGGACAACAGCUGGAAACGGCUGCUAAUACCGCAUGAAGUUGCGGGGAGGCAUCUUCCUGCAACCAAAGAUUUAUCGCUCUGGGAUGGGCUCAUGUCUGAUUAGUUAGUUGGCGGGGCAACGGCCCACCAAGACUACGAUCAGUAGCCGGACUGAGAGGUUGAACGGCCACAUUGGGACUGAGAUACGGCCCAGACUCCUACGGGAGGCAGCAGUGGGGAAUAUUGGGCAAUGGGCGCAAGCCUGACCCAGCAACGCCGCGUGAAGGAAGAAGGCUUUCGGGUUGUAAACUUCUUUUAUCAGGGACGAAGGAUGUGACGGUACCUGAUGAAUAAGCCACGGCUAACUACGUGCCAGCAGCCGCGGUAAUACGUAGGUGGCGAGCGUUGUCCGGAUUUACUGGGUGUAAAGGGCGCGUAGGCGGGAUAGCAAGUCAGGUGUGAAAUCUAUGGGCUCAACCCAUAAACUGCACUUGAAACUGUUGUUCUUGAGUGUCGGAGAGGUAGAUGGAAUUCCUAGUGUAGCGGUGAAAUGCGUAGAUAUUAGGAGGAACACCAGUGGCGAAGGCGAUCUACUGGACGAUAACUGACGCUGAGGCGCGAAAGCGUGGGGAGCAAACAGGAUUAGAUACCCUGGUAGUCCCCU
RNAcentral lists this ribosomal RNA (797 nucleotides) under uncultured Bacillota bacterium. RNAcentral describes it as "bacterial SSU rRNA". It matches the Rfam family "Bacterial small subunit ribosomal RNA", at positions 1 to 799 of the family's 1533-position model. The record is from RNAcentral. Lineage: Bacteria; Bacillati; Bacillota.